AUUGAACGCUGGCGGCAGGCCUAACACAUGCAAGUCGAACGGGUGGCGGACGGAUGAGAACUGUCUGGGACACUGCCUGGUGGAUGGGGAUAACUACUGGAAACGGUAGCUAAUACCGCAUACCAUCAGCUGUGCCCAGAUGGGAUGAGCUUGGUGGUGGGGGAACGGCUCACCAAGGCGACGAUCCCUAGCUGGUCUGCGAGGACGACCAGCCACACUGGAACUGAGACACGGCCCAGACUCCUACGGGAGGCAGCAGUGGGGAAUUUUGCACAAUGGGCGCAAGCCGGAUGCAGCCAUGCCGCGUGUAUGAAGAAGGCCUUCGGGUUGUAAAGUACUUUAAGCAGGGAGGCGUUACCCGCAGAAGAAGCACCGGCUAACUCCGUGCCAGCAGCCGCGGUAAUAC
RNAcentral lists this ribosomal RNA (406 nucleotides) under uncultured bacterium. Its description in RNAcentral is "partial 16S ribosomal RNA". It matches the Rfam family "Bacterial small subunit ribosomal RNA", at positions 30 to 526 of the family's 1533-position model. The record is from RNAcentral.